Molecule: transfer RNA, 64 nt
Filed under: Microceramus pontificus
Lineage: Eukaryota; Metazoa; Mollusca; Gastropoda; Stylommatophora; Urocoptidae
Description: tRNA-Leu
Source: RNAcentral
UUACUGGUGGCAGAAUAGUGCUUAAAAUUUAAGUUUUUACUAUGAAGAUUUCUUCCCAGUAUAC